Panthera uncia (snow leopard) is the source of this 871-nucleotide long non-coding RNA. RefSeq lists it as uncharacterized. The transcript has 5 exons. Lineage: Eukaryota; Metazoa; Chordata; Mammalia; Carnivora; Felidae. The record is from RefSeq and is a predicted model, not a curated record.
UCGACCCCCACGAUGGGGAAAGCCAGAGGAAAGCAGGUGUGGCCUUCUGCCCCGGAAUCCUCACCUCCUCUCAGACCACUUUCCACUAGAGCCAUCGCUGUGGUGAGCAGCCAGCGCUGGAGGAGCAGGACCACGCCUGCGGCCCACGCCGGUUUCCCAUCUGCCCUCUGGGCUCUACACCCGCGCAUGCGCAGCCUGUGAAGGUCCGGCUGUUGGCCCUGAGGGGCGUUUCCUGAGUCCCGGGGAGAUGGGUUGGAGCUUAAACGCCCGGAGUUCUACGGCUCUGUCGUUGAUGAUCUCAUCACUGUGUCUGUGACUUUCAAACCAGAGAUUCUGCUGUGGGACUUCUCUCUCGACAAGAUGCUGUUUCAAAAUUGAUUAGUUCUCCAACCCGCCCACUGAAAUCAUCCAACCUAUUGAAGAAGCAGAAUGGGAUGUGGAUUAUAGGGUUUCAGAUAACACCAAGUCCCUUGUGAAAGGCACUGAUGAUACAAAAAUGACACAGACAAAAAUCUCUGCACCCAUGGAACUUACAUUCUCUUAGAGGAGACACGGUAAGCAAGAGAUUCUGAUUCAGGAAGUUCCAUUUGUGGCCCAGGAAUCUAAUCUUUAUUUACCACCUUCCAACCAACACCAUUUCUGACACAGGUAGUGUAUGUGUUCUAUCCUGAUAACCACUGAUCUCUAUAGUCUUUGCCUCACAAUGCCAGAGUUCUUUAGGUUCCUUCCAAUCCUGUGACUCUAUAAUGUAUUUUUUAAAGGCAUCACCCAUCAAAACAAGCUCAGAGGCCUUAUAACUUAUCCAUAAUAUUUGAUAAUUAUUAAAAGAUGCAUUGUUGCUAAACUAGCCAGGCUUUCUGCUGAUUUGGGG